This 594-nucleotide ribosomal RNA is filed under the name Uncinaria hamiltoni. RNAcentral's name for it is "eukaryotic LSU rRNA". It matches the Rfam family "Eukaryotic large subunit ribosomal RNA", at positions 1312 to 1861 of the family's 3401-position model. Lineage: Eukaryota; Metazoa; Nematoda; Chromadorea; Rhabditida; Ancylostomatidae. The record is from RNAcentral.
CUGAAAAUGGAUGGCGCUUGAGCGAGGGACCUAUACCCAGCCGUUGCUGGCUUGUGCGUUGUCUAGCGCCUGGCCGCAACGAGUAGGAGGGUCGUGGCGGUUGCGUCGAAGGCUUUGGGCGUAGGCCCAGCUGGAGCUUCCGUCAGUGCAGAUCUCGGUGGUAGUAGCAAAUAUUUAAGUUCGAUCCUUGAAGACUGAAGUGGAGAAGGGUUCCACGUGAACAGUAGUUGAAUGUGGGUCAGUCGAUCCUAAGAUACUGGCUUAUGCCUUGUAUCAUUGAGAGGGAAAAGUUUCUUUUCUCUCGGAUAUCAAAAGGGAAUAGGGUUAAUAUUCCCUAACGCAGACACAGAGAUUGCGGCUCUUUGAGUCGCUUGCGCGGUAACGCAUUCGAACUUGGUUACGUCGCUCAGAGACCGAGCUAGAGUUCUCUUCUCUAGUUAAGGAACGGACUCCCUGGAAUCGGUUCAGCCGUAGAUAGGGACGUUGUUUCCGUAAAGCAUCGCGGUUUCUGUGAUGUCUCGUGUUCUCUGGACGGCCCUUGAAAAACCAAGGAAGGCUAUCAAUCUGUGCUGCAUCGUACCGAUAUCCGCAUCA